Cyanistes caeruleus (blue tit) is the source of this 1881-nucleotide long non-coding RNA. RefSeq lists it as uncharacterized. NCBI's taxonomy places the organism in Eukaryota, Metazoa, Chordata, Aves, Passeriformes, Paridae. The record is from RefSeq and is a predicted model, not a curated record.
GAAGUUUGUUCAGCUGCUGUCAAUAAGGUCAUUAUUUAACUGUUUUCUAGAUGGAGACAGUUUAUCUUAUAAAAAUGUUUUAUUUUGUUUUUUAAAGGACAUGGUUCAACCUUGGCUUGGCUUUUGCAGUGGAGUACAGCAAAUCCUUUUUCUACAAACAAAAUGUUCUAAUUUACUGCCCUCGAUAAGAUCCCCAGGCUUGCUUAAAUUGUUCAAAGUGUUAGAGGUGCAGCCUAUGCCAAAAACCGUACUAGUAUAAAUAUUGCAUAUAUUUUCAAUUUGUGGGUGAAUGUAAUGCAAAACAAUUUUGGUUGUUAGGCACAUUGCAGGCAGGCUCUGCAGGCUUCCCACACACGUUGCAACCAAAGCACUUCAGUCCUGACAGUUAACACCAUAUGAUGUUCCACUCUUGAAUUGCCUUGUGAGCAGCAACUGCCAGCUCUGCCUGUGAGUUUUGGAAUAUUCAAACCCUGUAGACCUGACGACUGGUUUGAUUUUUUUAAUUUGUUUUCCUUAGCAUCCUGCUCUCUACACACUAUGAAUGUCUGCUUGCUGUGAAGGAUUCCUUCUGCAUACUUAAUUUUGCCUCCUGCCUCAUGUAAGCAGCUGCAAUCCUGCAACCUUCCCUGUUUCCAGAGCAUCCCUUGGAAGAUCCCUGGAGGGCAGGAAAAUGAGACCACUAGAAACAGGGAGCAGUGUGGUGCUGAAAAGAGGUCAGAAACGCUGUACCUCCAAAAAAGCUCAAGAAUACCACUGAAUCAGGGAGCCCUGUAAGCUCCUGUAAGCCUUUUCAUGGAAUGCACCAGCUUAUUUGGUCCAUCAACGUGAACUAGAGAAAUGAAUCUCACCAGGAGUCUUCAGCCUUGAUCCAAAAGCCAGCACUGGAAGAAACCCUCAGAAAUAGCUCCAUAAAGAUAUUGGUUUUCUUUUUAGAGCCUUGUCUGAAAAAAAUCAGCUUGAUGUGCCUGGAAUGGUUUUAGGAGUGUAAAAAAAAAUGAUAGUGCCACCUGAUUGCUAACUGAAGAGUUAUGUCUAUGGGAGUCAAAGUGAUCCAGGCAACCAUAAUGUCUGUUUUCCUCGAGCCUCAUUUAGGCUUUGCUCACUUUGACCAAGGUGGUGAACAAGCCCCCUUGGACAUAUUUGUUCUCAAACAAAGGUAAAGGGAUCAUGCCCAUCACCAUUUUCUGCAGAAGACAGCCAAGUAAGACCCAGGGAGGGGCACCUUUUCUCCCUCUCCAGCGUGGCUCUCUGUUGAACGAGGCUGUAAGGAGGCACAUCACAUUUGCAGCAUAUAUUGAUUUAUGAUUUCAAAGUGCUGAACAAACAGCCAUUUUUUCUAAACAGACCAUAAGCAAUUGCUCAUUAUCCCCCAUUUAAUAUGCAGGGAAAGUAGGUGGGCAAAUAACCUAGUUUGCUGUUCAAUUACUCCAGUGGGCCACGAUGUUGCACUAAUGCUGCUUCGUGUCCAGCUGCUCUGCUCGUGCUGAAUUAGCUGUGCUGCUGAGAGUGCCCAGCUGAAAAAGAAUGAACCUCAUCACCUCUCCUGAGCGUGCAGCAACAGCACACACAAUUAAUUGCACUUCUGGGGCUUGACACCUACUGUUCCACGUGUUUUGAUCCAUUUGUCGAUGUGGUGCCACUGAACCUCUGCACCCUGUCUGCGCUUUGACACAGAAAACAGUGGCUGAAAUGCAACUUCUCAUCUUACCAGAGAAAAGGCAUGUGGAAAAGCAACACUUUGCUGGCCUGCUUCCCUUUUUUCUCUUUGUCAUUUUUGUCUUUGCAUGGGUUACUCCACGGUCAAAUGCUGUACUUCUUGAUGAGCAAGGUGGCAAUAUCAAAACAUGUAGUGAAAUAAAGUAGCUAGAUUAAAUAAAUGAA